GUUUGGAGCUAGUUGUUUUCCACUUCUCAAGGUGACAACACUCGCAGUACGUCUUGGAUUAGUGUUAGUUUUCCUUGGAAGAAAUCCUUCUUCCCUUUUGAAAGAAUCAACAGUUUGUGCAACCUGAUUAUCCAACAUGUUGACGUGGUCACUUAAGGAUUUAAACUUCUUUGUCAACUCGGAGUAUAUGGAACCUAUGUUCCAAUCGAAGUAGACAUCCAUCUUCUGCUGUCCUACAAAGACUUGAUUUAUUUUUGAUUCUGAUUUAGAACUACGUGAAUUCAUGUUUUCUUCUCGCUUAUCAAACUACUGACUUUAAAAAGGGAACUGGUUGACAUCUUCUUCUUCUUCAUGCGAGGAAGUCUUAGCUUCAUCAGCUGGCUGGAAUC
This 389-nucleotide long non-coding RNA is filed under the name Brassica napus (rape). RNAcentral describes it as "long non-coding RNA (BNAP_LNC005726)". The record is from RNAcentral. Lineage: Eukaryota; Viridiplantae; Streptophyta; Magnoliopsida; Brassicales; Brassicaceae.